Molecule: long non-coding RNA, 360 nt
Organism: Pogoniulus pusillus (Red-fronted tinkerbird)
Lineage: Eukaryota; Metazoa; Chordata; Aves; Piciformes; Lybiidae
Exons: 3
Source: RefSeq, a predicted model, not a curated record
CUGGGGAAGCUUCUAGUGUGUUUGCUGAGGUCCUGCUUUGGGGAGCUGCACAAGGGCAGAAGAAAUAGGAGUCAACAAAAUCAUUUGAUCUGAUCGACCAUGUGGAAAUGCAGUCCAGGAAUACUGUAGGGGAGCUCUGAGUCCUGUAAACAUCAGCUCAUGCCAAGACUGAGCUUUCCCAGAGCAUUCCUGUGAGCUCUGCUUCAAGGACAAGGGGAAAUCAGCCUCUCACUGGAGUGGCCCUUCACUCUGGGAUCUGGAUCUGCUCCAGUAGCCAAGCACCUUUACUCAACCCCAGAAACUGGCAUGCCUAAAUUUCAGAUGCAGAAGGUACUUUCAUCCAGCCCCAAGUGUAUGCAC